Molecule: ribosomal RNA, 253 nt
Filed under: uncultured bacterium
Lineage: Bacteria
Description: partial 16S ribosomal RNA
Rfam family: Bacterial small subunit ribosomal RNA
Source: RNAcentral
UACGAAGGUCCCAAGCGUUAUCCGGAUUUAUUGGGUUUAAAGGGUGCGUAGGCGGGUUAUUAAGUCAGUGGUGAAAGCCUUCAGCUUAACUGAAGAAUUGCCAUUGAUACUGAUGAUCUUGAGUAUGAUUGAGGUGGGCGGAAUGUGUCAUGUAGCGGUGAAAUGCUUAGAUAUGACACAGAACACCGAUUGCGAAGGCAGCUCACUAAGUCAUAACUGACACUGAUGCACGAAAGCGUGGGGAGCAAACAGG